This 72-nucleotide transfer RNA is filed under the name Sphaerodactylus townsendi. RNAcentral describes it as "tRNA-Ala". It matches the Rfam family "tRNA". From Rfam's summary of the family: Transfer RNA (tRNA) molecules are approximately 80 nucleotides in length. Their secondary structure includes four short double-helical elements and three loops (D, anti-codon, and T loops). Lineage: Eukaryota; Metazoa; Chordata; Lepidosauria; Squamata; Sphaerodactylidae. The record is from RNAcentral.
GGCGGUUUGACUCAGUGGUAGAGCAUCUGCUUGGCGUGCAGAAAACCCCAGGUUCAGUCCCCGGUAUCUCCA